RNAcentral lists this long non-coding RNA (1095 nucleotides) under Mytilus galloprovincialis (Mediterranean mussel). The record is from RNAcentral. Lineage: Eukaryota; Metazoa; Mollusca; Bivalvia; Mytilida; Mytilidae.
CUCGAACGAACGGACCCGAUACCGUAAAAUAAAAAUUAAAACUACAUAUCUUUGUAUAAUAACUGAGUAGGAUCUGUCCAAUAACCAGGCAUAUUAUUUUAAAACUAUUUGUUGAACUGGUCUACAGAACUGCUGCGGAGGCGCUCUGUUCGUACUGUUCAGACAUAUAAAAAACAGCUGAUUACACUCGAGGCAAUCGAAUGAGGGGGGAUUACACGAAUUUAUGUAUGUGCUGGUAGAUUCUGCCGAUAGCCGGAGCACCUCUUGAGAUCUAAGGGUGCAGUUGAAUCCGUGUACAUUACUGUGCAUGCAUGUCAUAGGUCCACAAUGAUGUUAUAUGCUGAAUAAUAAAAAAAAAGGCCCGGUACUAGGGUAAAAAAAACACUUGCAGUAAGACUUUUGAUUCAAGUAUGUAAAUUUUCCUGGUGGCGGUAGAUGCUAAGUGAUGGAUCUAGGCGGAGGUUGGAUCCGGAGUAAGAACCCUUUUUGAAAAAAAAACAACAGUACUGAACACAUCCCCCUGUACAUUUUUUAUCUGUUGGAACGCCAUACAUUAUUGUGGGGUACGUAAAGUCGUUUGAAAUUUGAAUUUGGUAGCAAGAGGGUAAAUACAAGUGGUACAAAAUGGACCCGCAUCAUCUGUACAUAACGCGAAGCAUUUUUGUUGAUAUACAUUUUAAUAAAUUUGUGUUUUUUUCAGUGGCAUUUGAACGCGUCUGGAUGCAUCUACUCGGCAUGCAGUACAAAUCUUUUGUGUUUGAAACACACCACGUGCAUUCGAUGAUAAGUUUCGGUAGAGAAGGGUUUUUUUGUUGCAUUUUUUCAGAGCAGCACAGUAUAUAUAGAUGUACCUACCCGAGAAUCAUUCUUGAUGUCCAUUUUUUUGUUAAUAAAUAUUCUUCUUUCUUUUUUAAAAUAACCUUUAUAAAUAACCAACUUUUGAGAAUUUUCGAAAACAGGAAAACGUUAAAUUACGUCAUAGGUUCCAAGGUCGGCAUAGAUUCAGUGCAAUAAAGGAACAGACCUUGUUAGCGCAAUUACAAUAAUUUGUUAGACCGCACGGUCUUUUUUAUUACCCAUAAUAAGACUAAGAAC